UACGAAGGGUGCAAACGUUGCUCGGAAUUAUUGGGCGUAAAGAGCUCGUAGGCGGCCUGUCGCGUCGACCGUGAAAACCCGCAGCUCAACUGCGGGCUUGCGGUCGAUACGGGCAGGCUGGAGUUCGGUAGGGGAGACUGGAAUUCCUGGUGUAGCGGUGAAAUGCGCAGAUAUCAGGAGGAACACCGGUGGCGAAGGCGGGUCUCUGGGCCGAUACUGACGCUGAGGAGCGAAAGCGUGGGGAGCGUACAGG
RNAcentral lists this ribosomal RNA (253 nucleotides) under uncultured bacterium. RNAcentral's name for it is "partial 16S ribosomal RNA". It matches the Rfam family "Bacterial small subunit ribosomal RNA", at positions 524 to 776 of the family's 1533-position model. The record is from RNAcentral.